GAGAUUAGCCCUCCCCCCCCCCCCCCAAUUAAAUCAUAAACAUUAAUUCUUAUCACAGUAUCAGUGCUCCAUCUAUAGGCCUAACAAAGGGGUGUUGAUAGACUUUUGAUUGGCUGAGCCACCAUCUAUUUGAAAACAAGCAACUUUGAUUGGCUGGAGACAGGAAGUUAUGUUUUGAAAACAAAGGGGGUUUUCAUCAACUGACUUUGAGCUUUAAGGUAUAAUUGAGUAACAUUAAGACUUAUAAUUCUAGUUUAAAAUGUCUUGAAUAACUUUCAGCAUGAAGUAUUGUGUGGUGAAAACAAUGUGUAUGUACUACAAUGUGUAAAUCAACAAUAAGUUUGUUGCAAAGGAGAUUCAAAGUGGAUGGUUAAAGUGAUAUGGUCUCAUAAUUCAUCAACUGCCUGUUAUCUUGGAAUACUGAAGAACAGUUGUUUUAGGUUAAACUCCCAAGGUGAAAUUUACAUUGAUUGGAAGAUUCUUUGGAUAGAAUAUUCCUGCCAAAAGACAGCAGAAGGGGGACUAUUACUGAUGUAUGGAUUUUGACACCAGAUUUUACCCUGCACGAGCAGUCCAACUUGAGUAGAUCAGGAGUGGGAAAACCGAGCCCUGUCCUUGACCAAGGAAAGUUGGAUUUGUUGAGAGGACCUGAUCUCAAAUGAGAUCAUGCACAAGACGCACCUCGCAAAGGCCAUGAUAGUAUAGUUUUCAGACCUGAUCAGCUGGUGACUGCUCUAUGAAGUGCUGUUCAACCUCCCCUAAGGGGGAGAUUCGAGAGGG
Molecule: long non-coding RNA, 780 nt
Organism: Dreissena polymorpha
Lineage: Eukaryota; Metazoa; Mollusca; Bivalvia; Myida; Dreissenidae
Exons: 3
Source: RefSeq, a predicted model, not a curated record